AUUGAACGCUGGCGGCAGGCUUAACACAUGCAAGUCGAGCGGAGAGAGGUAGCUUGCUACUGAUCUUAGCGGCGGACGGGUGAGUAAUGCUUAGGAAUCUGCCUAUUAGUGGGGGACAACAUUUCGAAAGGAAUGCUAAUACCGCAUACGUCCUACGGGAGAAAGCAGGGGAUCUUCGGACCUUGCGCUAAUAGAUGAGCCUAAGUCGGAUUAGCUAGUUGGUGGGGUAAAGGCCUACCAAGGCGACGAUCUGUAGCGGGUCUGAGAGGAUGAUCCGCCACAAUGGGACUGAGACACGGCCCAGACUCCUACGGGAGGCAGCAGUGGGGAAUAUUGGACAAUGGGCGGAAGCCUGAUCCAGCCAUGCCGCGUGUGUGAAGAAGGCCUUAUGGUUGUAAAGCACUUUAAGCGAGGAGGAGGCUACUUUAGUUAAUACCUAGAGAUAGUGGACGUUACUCGCAGAAUAAGCACCGGCUAACCCUGUGCCAGCAGCCGCCGUAA
This 501-nucleotide ribosomal RNA is filed under the name uncultured bacterium. RNAcentral describes it as "partial 16S ribosomal RNA". It matches the Rfam family "Bacterial small subunit ribosomal RNA", at positions 30 to 523 of the family's 1533-position model. The record is from RNAcentral.